AGAUGUAACGCCAUGGGGUAGGAAGCCCGGAAACCUCUCCGACAUGUUCUGGGAGAACCAGCGAGGCCUCGGCAGAUGCUGACCCCACCGCAGACCCUACCAGGACCAGCAAGAAACACACUGCCAACAAGAGCCUUUCCCAUGGAUGCCCGCAACUGUUGGCCCGUGGUGCCGAUGACGGCGGAAAGUGAAAUUAAUGGCAGGAAAGACUAGGAUGCUGGUGGCAGGGGCGGUGAAGGCUGA
Mesocricetus auratus (golden hamster) is the source of this 243-nucleotide long non-coding RNA. RefSeq lists it as uncharacterized. The record is from RefSeq and is a predicted model, not a curated record. The transcript has 2 exons. Lineage: Eukaryota; Metazoa; Chordata; Mammalia; Rodentia; Cricetidae.